GGAAGUAAAAGUCUAACAAGGUCUCCGUAGGUGAACCUGCGGAGGGAUCAUUCACAUGAUUUACUUUAUAAACAAACCGUGAACUUUAUUUAACUAUUCUUGUUGGGAUUUUUUUUCAACAAUGUCAUUCGAUGAACAUUAGAUAGCUGGCUUGUAUUUUAUUAUACUUUCUCAGCUGAUUUUUGAAUAGACUAAACAUCUAAUCAAAAUCAACCAAACAUAGAAACAACUCUAUGCCCUGGAUAUCUUGGUUCUC
Molecule: unclassified non-coding RNA, 256 nt
Filed under: plant metagenome
Description: partial contains small subunit ribosomal RNA, internal transcribed spacer 1, and 5.8S ribosomal RNA
Rfam family: Eukaryotic small subunit ribosomal RNA (bases 1-53)
Source: RNAcentral